This is a non-coding RNA of Parcubacteria group bacterium, 261 nucleotides long. The record is from Rfam.
GACGGAGCCAAUCCUCAUAAGCCGGCGCCAGUUCGGAUUGAGGUCUGCAACUCGACCUCAUGAAGCCGGAAUCGCUAGUAAUCGCGGGUCAGCUAUACCGCGGUGAAUACGUUCUCAAGUCUUGUACUCACUGCCCGUCAAACAAGGGAAGCCGGGAGCACCUGAAGCUCGCGCUCGUCGCGAGCCAAGGUGAGCUUGGUAACAAAUGUUAAGUCGUAACAAGGCACGGGUAGCGGAAGCUGCUCGUGGAAUUAUUCAAAA